Molecule: ribosomal RNA, 464 nt
Filed under: uncultured archaeon
Lineage: Archaea
Description: bacterial SSU rRNA
Rfam family: Archaeal small subunit ribosomal RNA
Source: RNAcentral
UAAUACCAGCCCCGCGAGUGGUAGGGACGAUUAUUGGGCCUAAAGUGUCCGUAGCCGGCUCGGCAAGUCUCUCUUCAAAACUCAUGGCUUAACCAUGAGAACGGAGAGAUACUGCUGGGCUAGGGGGCGGUAGAGGUCGGGGGUACUUCUGGGGUAGGGGCGAAAUCCUAUAAUCCCAGAAGGACCGCCAGUGGCGAAAGCGCCCGGCUGGAACGCGCCCGACGGUGAGGGACGAAAGCUGGGGGAGCAAAGGGGAUUAGAUACCCCCGUAGUCCCAGCUGUAAACGAUGCGGACUAGGUGUUGGACGAACUUCGAGUUCAUCCAGUGCCGCAGGGAAGCCGUUAAGUCCGCCGCCUGGGGGGUACGGCCGCAAGGCUGAAACUCUGUAAGUAUUGUUACUUACAGGGCAGUGAACUUAAAGGAAUUGGCGGGGGAGCACCACAAGGGGUGGAGCCUGCGGUUC